CUGCAUCUCGCCAGCUUUGUGGGUGUGGACAGGCGCUGGGUUGUCUGAAGCAGAAGCUUGAAUGGAUCCCGGUUUGUUAUCUUCUGCCAGACCAAUGUAGGUCUUAUUGCCUGCUUGAAUCCUCGUAACCUGGGGGGCCCCUCUUCCCCCUCCCCUUCCGCCAAAACCUAGCCAGCUGUUCGUCAGUUCGACCCCCCCAGGACAUACGUUGCAUGCUUUGAUUGAAAAUACUACUGUUUAGGCGGAGAAGUCCUGCAAUAUUCCAGGGCCUGCCCCUAUCCAUCCUGUCUACUAUAAUAGAGCUGCCCCUCCCAUAAAUACCCGCCGAUAUGGAGGCCAGGUCAGACAGCAGCAGCAAGAACAACAAUACCCAGCGGCUUUGCUCGUCCCUCCCCCCAAACCUGUGGCAUAAUCAUCCGUCCGCCAAUUCUCGUGGGCGCAACCGCCUGUUCGACCCUCCACUAACCACCUCUUCUCCUCUUGAUGAACCCAUUCUUGCACGUCGCACUGCAGGAUUGCGCCAACUGAAUGGCCUCCCGCGUCAGUUUCAGCGCAGCCAUAGGCAUACUACUUCUAUCUGUAGCAGAUCAUCUUUGCCCUCCCAGCCAGUGGUAGUUAGGACGUACUCUGCCGAAACUGAUGCUCAGACACAGCCAUCUGCCAUGUCACGAGGUACCUCCGCUGCAAACAGACCACCUGCCCAGCUGCCACCCGUCCAGGACUUCGGCAUUGACGGUAUUCUCAGAGCAAUUGAACCUGAUAUUCAAAGCACUUUGGAUGCAAUCGCUGAAAUAUGCGGGCGAAGCAAACUGAGUCUUGCUAACGAAUAUGGA
Molecule: small RNA, 833 nt
Filed under: Histoplasma capsulatum
Lineage: Eukaryota; Fungi; Ascomycota; Eurotiomycetes; Onygenales; Ajellomycetaceae
Also listed under: 1 other name
Description: hypothetical RNA
Source: RNAcentral